GGAUGUGGCUCAAUUGGUAGUGCACUCGCCUGGCAUGCGUGAGGCACUGGGUUCAAUCCUCAACACCA
This 68-nucleotide transfer RNA is filed under the name Marmota monax (woodchuck). RNAcentral's name for it is "tRNA.Ala". The record is from RNAcentral. Lineage: Eukaryota; Metazoa; Chordata; Mammalia; Rodentia; Sciuridae.